This 494-nucleotide ribosomal RNA is filed under the name uncultured bacterium. RNAcentral's name for it is "partial 16S ribosomal RNA". It matches the Rfam family "Bacterial small subunit ribosomal RNA", at positions 28 to 507 of the family's 1533-position model. The record is from RNAcentral.
GACGAACGCUGGCGGCGUGCUUAACACAUGCAAGUCGAACGGUGAAGCGCCUUCCUUUUUGGUGGGUGUGGAUGAGUGGCGAACGGGUGAGUAACACGUGAGUAACCUGCCCCCUUCUUCUGGAUAACCGCAUGAAAGUGUGGCUAAUACGGGAUAUUCUGGGUCUGUCGCAUGAUGGGUCUGGGAAAGAUAUUGUUUCGGUGGGGGAUGGGCUCGCGGCCUAUCAGCUUGUUGGUGGGGUGAUGGCCUACCAAGGCGGUGACGGGUAGCCGGCCUGAGAGGGUGGACGGUCACACUGGGACUGAGACACGGCCCAGACUCCUACGGGAGGCAGCAGGGGGGAAUAUGGCACAAUGGGCGCAAGCCUGAUGCAGCGACGCCGCGGGAGGGAUGGAGGCCUUCGGGUUGUGAACCUCUUUCGCCAGUGAAGCAGGCCUGCCUCGUUUGUGGGUGGGUUGACGGUAGCUGGAGAAGAAGCGCCGGCUAACUACGUG